Molecule: ribosomal RNA, 557 nt
Filed under: uncultured Rhizobium sp.
Lineage: Bacteria; Pseudomonadati; Pseudomonadota; Alphaproteobacteria; Hyphomicrobiales; Rhizobiaceae
Description: bacterial SSU rRNA
Rfam family: Bacterial small subunit ribosomal RNA
Source: RNAcentral
ACGGGUGAGUAACGCGUGGGAAUCUACCCUUUUCUACGGAAUAACGCAGGGAAACUUGUGCUAAUACCGUAUGUGUCCUUCGGGAGAAAGAUUUAUCGGGAAAGGAUGAGCCCGCGUUGGAUUAGCUAGUUGGUGGGGUAAAGGCCUACCAAGGCGACGAUCCAUAGCUGGUCUGAGAGGAUGAUCAGCCACAUUGGGACUGAGACACGGCCCAAACUCCUACGGGAGGCAGCAGUGGGGAAUAUUGGACAAUGGGCGCAAGCCUGAUCCAGCCAUGCCGCGUGAGUGAUGAAGGCCCUAGGGUUGUAAAGCUCUUUCACCGGAGAAGAUAAUGACGGUAUCCGGAGAAGAAGCCCCGGCUAACUUCGUGCCAGCAGCCGCGGUAAUACGAAGGGGGCUAGCGUUGUUCGGAAUUACUGGGCGUAAAGCGCACGUAGGCGGAUCGAUCAGUCAGGGGUGAAAUCCCAGGGCUCAACCCUGGAACUGCCUUUGAUACUGUCGAUCUGGAGUAUGGAAGAGGUGAGUGGAAUUCCGGGUGUAGAGGUGAAAUUCGUAGA